UCCCCUCAGUGGUGGUCAAGGGUGAGGGUGGGUCAGGGAGGGCUCCCAGGAGGCUUCCAAGCCUGGAGCCUCUUCCCAGCCUGGAGAAGUGCCCUGGGUGGCUCCCAGCACCACUGACCACCUGGUUUGAUGCAGAGACUGCACGGGACAGUGCUGCAAGCGUGACUUGGCUUGUUCGUAGGUUCUCCCUUCCUCUAUUCUGCUGGUGGCUAUGUGACCUUGAGCAAGUUACUCAACUUCGUGAAGAAGGAACUUCUAAGAAUACUUCCCUGCAGGCUGAGGUGGGGCGCACAUGGGCGCUGAGGGUGAGAAGGACCUGCAGGCUCUCGGGACAUAGCCUUCUCCAUCCUCCUUGAAUGGCGCUGACUCCGGUUUGCAGGACCCUUUCCUGUGCCCUGAGCCUACGGCGGAUCUGCCAUCUGCCAGAUGCUGGACCCUCUUGUGCACGUCAUCACGUCCUCAGGCCUCCGCGGUGCCCAUCUUUCCAUCUCAUGGCCCAGGCCUCUGCGGUGCCUAGCUCCAUCUCGUGGCUCAGGCCUCCAUGGCGCCCGUCUCUCCAACUUGUGGCCCUGGAUGCUGGUGGUGCCCACCUGGCAGUGUGCCCAGCCCAUGGGGAGCUCAGCAAACCCUUGCCGCCAUGCAGUGGGUUCCCACUGGGUCCUGUGAUCGGAUGAGUAAAUGAGAGCCUGCAGCAGCCCUGCCACUCUUGCCUUUUCUUUUUGGGUCAUUGAGGUGGCAGCCCAUGUGUUGAUUCUGCAGGUGUAGACACAGCUCUUGAAUAAUCACAUGGAAUCGCUUUACCCAGAGAGGCCCAGACACCUGUGGGAGGCCAGCCCAGCUUCCCACCAGAGGCCACUCAGUGUUGUUCAUGUGCCCUCAGUUUGGGUGCCCUUCCAGCAUCUGGCCCGCAGGAAGGGGAAUUCUAAGUGCAUGCCAGUCACCCUGGUCUGCACUUACUGGUAUCACUCUGAUUUGUUGCAUGGAGUGGGGAGGAGCCAAAGACAGCAUUGGAACGGAGGACGGGCCAAGCCUCCACACUGGUGGCCUUUUUCCUGCAUGUGAGGCAGGUUCCCUCUCCGUUUUCCUCUCCCCAGAAGCUCUCAAGGGCAGGACUCCUCUGCUCAGCUCACGGUAGCAGCUCUGAUGCUGGAACAGGGCCUGAGUGGAUGGAUGGAUGAUUCCCCAAUGCGGGUCUCCAAAGCCCACCAUGUUCCAUUGAGAGCAGGACCAGCCUGGAUGGACGAUGUUGGCUGUGGGGUGCACGGAGAGCAGAGACCGCCCCAAAGGGAGAGGGAGGGCAGAGCCAGGACCAGCCUAGAUGGGCGAUGUUGGCCACAGGAUGCACGGAGGGCAGAGGCUGCCCCAAAGGGAGAGGGACCAGCCUAGAUGAGCUCACCCACAGUGGGAGGGUGGUGUCUGAUGGGGGUGGGUGGAAAUGGCCUGGCUUGGCAUCCAUGCAGCAAAACCCACAGCCCAGGAACCACAGAGGGGAAGGGACAGGUGUCCAGUGUCCACUGGGAUGGCAGGAGUGGGGCUGGGGUACCGGGCAGGGAGGUCCACAGAACUCCAUGUGGGGCUUCAUUCUCAGUCCCUAGGCCCCUUUGGUGCCCACCCCUGCUGGCCCCCUGACUGCAUGCAGCUCAGUGAGGAAGGCAGGGUGUGUGGUGCUAGAACAGGCCCCAGGUACCCACAGAACACGCCUCAGAGAGGCUGCAGGCCUGCCCACAGCCACACCGCCAGACAGCUGGCCCUCCACUCUAACUUCUGACCCCACUAUGCCCUCCUCCCCACACGGGCCUAUGUCUUGGAUUUCUUUAAUGGAGAAGAAAAUUCCCCUCGGAUACAAGAGCCUCAACAUUUUAAGGAUUUUCUGCAUCUCAGAAUCGUAGGCUCCUUGCUGGGCAAGGUGAGCCUCUGCAAGUCCUCACAGGACCAAGCAAAUCUGAUUCACCCCAGAAAAUCCAAUAUCCAAGCUGAGCUUUGGCCUGGGUGGGUUCCAUUUCUUCCCUAGAUCCUAUUUAGGAUGUGUAUCCUAGGUGCUAACAUGCAACGUUCUGAGGGGUUAUUGCUCAAAAACAAGAUUUUCCAUGUGGUCAAGACUCUGCGAGCCUCGAACACAAUGAAUCCACUCGAGUGGGCUUGGGCUUUGCCUGGGUGCCGCACGCUCACACGUUGGAAGCCCAGCUUUGAUGAUAUCCACACACGCACAGGCACACACGCCACAGGUGAUGCCGGCUCAUUCUCAGGAGGUGUUUGUCUAAGCUCUGCUUUAAAUAUUUACCCCCUAAUUGUACAAAUGAUAGGGGCCUGAACCUGGUACUAGAUAAAUGGGGACUUCCUUAAAAGGACACCUGCUAUCUUUGACAUUUUCCGACAAAGCUUCUACUGUUGAAGAGCGAUUGCACCUAGAAAAGCCUCUUCCUGGCGGUCACAGCAAGGUGAACUUUCAGGACACAGCCACAGACAGGGAGAAGGCCUCUGAGAAGUCCAGCCGCCAGCCCCAGAACACGAGCAUGCAGCCAGCAGAACGGUCCCUCAGGGCAGUGCUGACCUGUGCUGCAAGGAAAAGGGAAUUUUCCACCUUCACAGAUCUGUUUUCCUGUCUUUGUUCUUUCUUCCCUGGGAACCUCCAACUCUGUUCUUGUUUCUCAAGAUGGCCUUAGGGGAAGCAGCACGAGGGCAUGGCCUCUGUGUUAACAGAGGCCACCUGCACAGAAGACACCAUUGUCCCUAGAGCCCUAGAGACCGGGCCAGAGCCUUCCGGGGGCCCCAGGCCAGUGGUUGUGCCACUGAGUGUUUAGCAACCAGCUCUCCAGAGGAAAAAGGGCCUGGUUUUUACCUUGUGCCAAUUUCUGUAGUGUAAACAGUCCCACCACGACAGGUUUCAAGCCACCCACGUGAACUCACUUAGCGUGGAGUUGGAAAGAGACACCCGUGAUCCAUUCCUGCAGGCGGGGGGAGCUGGCACCAGCACACCACGGCAGGCUGUGGGUUUGGAAACUCGAGGACUGCGUGCCGCUUUUGAAAAGAAAUCCUUACUUCUCCCAGGAGGAGAAGAGGCGUGCCCAUCUGCCCGAGAGCUGCUGAGAUCCAGGUGCACGUGGACCUUUCCCGGAAGGAUGGUUCUGGAUGACGAUAGCUGUGGGUGCCCCCACUCAUGAGCCGAGGGACACUGGACACUCUGCUCAGCCUCUAGCCUCAGCCUGCUCAUCUGUCAGAGGGGAUAAGAUGACCCAUUUCAGGGUGCCUGGAAGAUUCACUGAAAUAACCCGCCAGAAGUGGUCAGAGGAGAGAGGGAUCAGGCGCUUGCACAGGGGCGUCGUGUCUGCACUGUGCGGCUGUAAGCUCUCUCCGCACACCGCGUCUUUCUCCUUUUCUCCCGCAUGUGCAUGUGGAUGUGAAUUCGUGAGAGUCCCAGUCUGAGUGGGAGAGGCCGGGGAUGAGAUCAGGUGGUACAAGGGGCUUGUCCUUGAGGCAGGAGGAGAAGCAGCUGGGGCUCAGUCAAGGCAUCGGUGCCAGAAAGGGCUCCAGGUGUGACCGUUCACCCUCAGCCUCUCCAGUGCCGGAAAGGGCUCCAGGUGUGACGGUUCACCCUCAGCCUCUUCAGUGCCGGAAAGGGCUCCAGGUGUGACGGUUCACCCUCAGCCUCUUCAGUGCCGGAAAGGGCUCCAGGUGUGAUGGUUCACCCUCAGCCUCUCCAGUGCCGGAAAGGGCUCCAGGUGUGACGGUUCACCCUCAGCCUCUUCAGUGCCGGAAAGGGCUCCAGGUGUGACGGUUCACCCUCAGCCUCUCCAGUGCCGGAAAGGGCUCCAGGUGUGACCGUUCACCCUCAGCCUCUUCAGUGCCGGAAAGGGCUCCAGGUGUGAUGGUUCACCCUCAGCCUCUUCAGUGCGGGAAAGGGCUCCAUGUGUGAUGGUUCACCCUCAGCCUCUCCAGUGCCGGAAAGGGCUCCAGGUAUGACUGUUCACUCCCAGCCUCUCCAGUGCCGGAAAGGGCUCCAGGUAUGACUGUUCACUCUCAGCCUCUCCAGGACAGGGUCUGUGGGAGGAUUGCACAAGGAAAUGGGCCGGGUCAGUAACACCCACCAUGAGGCACUCAGCCUCCUGGAAUCGGGGGGCCGGAGACACAAAAAGCAGCAUUUGGGUGGCACCUGCUCCCCACUCCCUGGUGCCCGUGGGUGCUUCCAUAAAAUGAGCCUGCCGUGGAGCACAGGGUCUGGCAUCCACCCAUCCCUCAGGCCCAGGUUCCUCCUCUUUGGGUUCAAGCCAGAGGCACAGGCUGGUGCCCACAGGACUGGGUCAGGAUUGGGCUUGACCAGCUCUGGCAGCCCUGCCUCAGUGGCCACCAGCCAAGGUGACCUCCCUCCUUCCUUGUGGUGACCCUAUCCAUCCGAGGGGCCUCGUCCCUCCCUGACACCAACUUGGACCAGGGCCCCCAAGCUCUUCGGAGUUCAUCCCCCAACUCCAAAAGUCGGAAGGCAAACUGCGUCACUGUUUUCCGUCCUGCCCCUCCCUGUACUCACAUCCUGUGCUGCGUGGGCCACUCAGGGACCCCAGGAGGCAGACACCAAGACAGGAGGAUGUGGGGUGGGGUCAUGAAGGUGCCGUGUGUCCUGGGGCUGCUGGAAGGAACCUGCACACUGGGCAGCUUCAGGCCACUGAGAUUCGCUCUCUCCCACGCUCAUUCGGUUUCCCUGCUGGUGGAGGCAAUGUGGGAAGAGACAGUUUCCUCCCAGGGUCCUGGCCUCUGCUUCCAGCCCCAUGAGGGGCAAUGCUGGGCAAUGCUGUAGACGUGGCCUCACUUAGCGGGGUGCAUCGCAUCUGGUAACUGCCGCCAUCAUGCACAGGGCUUGUGACUGCCAGGUCUUGGAUGCAUCACCCCAUGAAGGGCUGAGCUCAUGGGAUGCUUGCUCAGGGAACCCCCCAAAGACGUCUGAGGAAUGGGAUGUGGGUCUGAGGGGGCCAGCCUGGACUGUGCAGGUCUGUGCGGGUGGGACCAGACUUCACAUCCAACGUGAAUGCUUUGGGGUGUGCAGGCAGCUAAGAGCCUUCCUGAAGCUCCCGGGGAGUUAAGAGAGAUUGCCGUGGGAACUGGAGCCCUUGGCCCAGUUGUCUCCCUUUAGCUGGAAAACAGCGUGGUCCCCAUUAAAAUGGAGAUGGUGCAUUUCACAGCCAGGGCCUUUGGGAGGCCACAGUCAUAGAAAGUAGGCCUGUGGGUCUCAUUCCAAAUCCUUUCUUGUGGCAUCUUUCUGUGAAGUAAAAAGAAGUCACUGGGGAGUGUUUUCCCUCCUUCUCACCAUUUUCAAUUCCGACUUGAUUCUAAGGGACACAGAUGGGUGGGCCAGAAGAGCCAGGUGGCUUCCUGGUGGCCCGGCCAGGUCUGUGCUACCUGCCUCUCCUGCCUUCUUAUGGAGGUCAUUGUAUUCCUGAGGAGGGAGGUGGCACCUGUCACCUGCAGAGAUGCCCCCUCCUCCCACCCACACCCUCACUUCCUCCCAUCUUCCCAAAUCCAGCCCGAGUCAGCAUCUCCCAGAAACUGCUCAGAAGAAUUAGAGAUGGGUGCUGUUGGGAAUUAGAUAGUGACCGCAAUGUAUAUCUGCACCCAAAACCUCGUAACGACCUUAGACCCCAAGGUCUUUCUUGGAAAUAGGUUCUUUACAGAUAUAAUUAGUUAAGGAUCUUGAGAGGAGAUCAUCUUCUGGUUAGGUGGGUCCUAAAUUCAAUGCCUGCUACCCUCAUAAGAAGAGGAGAGCACGCAGAGACACAGGGGAAGAGCACCCUGUGUAGAGGCGGAGAUGGACCUGAUGCAGCCACACGCCAAGGAACGCCUGGAGCUGCCAGAAGCUGGAAGAGGCAGAAGAACCCUCCGCAGAGCCUGAGGAAGGAGCCUGAAGUUUGCACGUCACCUUCAGAAUUGUGAGAGAAGAAAUGUCUGUGUUUUAAGCCCCCGCCCUCUGUUAGUGAUCAUUGCUAUGGCAGCCAGGACCCUUAUGCAAUUGGGGUCCAGGAGUGAGGCAGCCGGGCAUUGCUGCUUAAAUGUGGGUGCACCCAGCAGAGUGCUCACGGCCGUGGGGUGAAGAGGCUGGCAUUGCAGAGCAGAAAGGCUCACAAGGGAGCCCUGACUGGGACACCAACUGGACUUGGAAAUAAACACGAAAGAGAGGAGUGAAAGGCAACAUUGAGGCUAACAAGGAGGAUCAAGGAUGUGGAAAAUCCACGGUGGAGGCACUCCACAAGUGUAAUCCGAGGAGAAAGUGGAGGAGGAGGAGGUGUCAGCUGGGGGCAGAGAAUGAGGGCAGUGUGGAGCUCAGCCAUGCUCUUCAGCACACAGCAGUGUAGCAUCCUGCCUGAGGGUCGGAUUGGUGGAUUCCUGCCUGGGUUCCGUUGCUCGAUGCUGUGUGACUUCAAACAAAUCACCCAACCUCUCUGUGCCGCAUGUGUAUCAUCUGUGAAUAGGAACAAUAGCUGUUUUUUAUGCUGCUUGUGAGGAGUAAAUAAAAGGACAGCUGGUAAGGAGCUUAGAACACUUCCUGGCAGAUGGAAAGUAUCCAAAGAUUUCAUCUGUUAAUGUUAAGAGAACAGAAACAAAAGUCAAAGACAUAAUCAAAGAAAAUUCCCCAGGCUGCAGAAAGGCAGUGCAGGCAGCGUUGGUCAGUGCACCACUGUGGGGGAAGAAAACCCCGGCAUGUGUGGAAUGACAAAGCGUAAAAACAAAUGUGUGUGUGUGUGCACUGCACAACACCACAGAGCUACUGUAAGCCAAGUUCUAUGCAUUACUGACUUGGAGUGACCACGUAAUGUGCUGUUAAUGGAAUGCAACAAGUUGUGGGAGAAACAGCACAAUCCUGUUCAUAAACAUCUUGGUGGUGCUCAUGGCUCCUGCUGGACAGGUGUCGGGAGGCUCCCUGCAGGUGUUCCCUGUGAAGGGGUGAGUAAGGCAUGGAGCCACUGUGAACAGCACCUUAUGGCUCAGAAUCGCCUCAUUUGAUGCAUAGAAGGUGGCAGGUCAGGUGCUUGUCCCUCUACUCACCUGCAGGGGAGACUGAGUCCCUUCAACUCAGUGCUGGCUGGGAGGUGGGCAGGGGCCCCAGGUCCCUUCUCUGCCUCCUGCACACUGUGCCUUGUGCCUGAUUCUUUCCUUAGGCUCCUGAGGAGACUCAGCAUUCCUGGGUGCAGCUUUGGGGCAUCUGGGGCUCAGAGCUGUCCUUGUAACCAGGCAACACUGACAACUUUUAAACUGGUUUGAUUACCCAGAAAAAAACCAAAUGCCCCAUCUGAUUCCAUCUCUCCUAUCUUUGGCAGGAAGCAUCUGCCGUUGCCAGGCAAAGGCCAGAGACAGCCUGGCUUUUCACGCCCUGUACGCAAGCCCGAGCCGCUAGCUUGUGUGACUGCGUGUGGCCGAGGCCCUGGCCCUGUGCCCCUGGGUGAGGCUGCGGUCGGGAUAACAUCUCUCUCCCCAGGCUGUGAAAUCCCAACUCCCGGCCUCACUGCAGCUCUUCCAUCAGAGGUCCCUAGAGGAAGUGUGUUCCCUGAAGUAUGCGUUUCCUACCGACCUUUCCAACCCGCUGUGGCCUCUCCUUGCGUUUUAGGCAGGGCUGUGACUUGCUGGUUGGAGGAAGCGUGAGUCAGGGCCCAGAGGGACCUCUGGGGAUUAUCCUGUCCAAAGCCUCUCACCAAAGCCUUUCACAGCAUCUUCUUUUUACUUAGCACCAGAACCUCGUGUGUGUGUGCAUGUGUGUGUGUUCACCUGCAUAUGUGUGUGUGUGUGUGCACAUGCAUGCCUCUUCCCCAGAUGAGACCCUGUGCAGAAGAACCCUGGCAUAUAAAGCAGAUCAAAGAGGGGUUGGGCUGGCAACUCAGGGAGGGGCUCCCAGGACUUCACCCACCUAGGCCCGCAGCUCCCUCCUCUGUCCCUGCCCUGGAGACACUUCUGGGAGGCUACUUGGGAAUCCCUUGUCUAGUUCCAUUGUCUGGUUUCACAGAUGGGGAAACUGGCCCCAGACAGGAAAGUGCAAUGCACUCAAGCUUGAGGUGAAGCUGGGUGGCCCAGGUGUCCAGGUGUGUCCUGGUGGGUGGGGUGGCAUGGGGUUCUUUCUGUGGAACAAGAGCUGGCCCUGCCAGGAAGAACUCUUCCCCAGGACAGGCCUCCUUCCAGGAGGGAGUCAUGGCAUGACUGUGUGUGGAGAGCAGUGCUCCUUUUUCUCUUUGGUCUCGAGCACAGGGGAGACCCCCGGAAAAGUGGUCUGGCAUGAAUCCAGGGAUCAGGAGCAGAGAGUGCAUGCUGGCUGAGCAGCCUUCCAUCUAUGGAGGAGUGACACAUUUCCCUCACUCUGCUUCUUCAUCUCAGGGUCAGGCCCGGGUGCCUCGGGAUCUGGAAGCUGGCACUGUGUUCUGGCCCCAGUGCCUUAGCACAUGCUGUGCUCAGCCUGGAGCAUUCUUCCCCUGUCUCACCUGGGACGCUCACCUGUGUCUUUCCCGCCCUGGCUCAAUUCUCCCUGCUCUGCAAAAUGUUGGCCAGGUCUCCCCACACCUUCCCAGGCUUCCCCAGGCAGCACCAGGUCACAUCAUGUGCUGCAAUAUGAUCUCAUCUCCCCAGCACUUCUUGAACCAUCUACUGCCUUACGUUAAGUCUUUGUGUACCUAGGAGUUACUCGAAGUAUCUGGGGUGCAGAAGAAUUGAUUGUUGCUUCUACAUACUAUAGAUCAUUUUUAAACACUGAAAAUGGUUUUGUGGGAGACCUGGGUGGGGCCGGGCAAGGCAUGUGAGGUGGUCCACAUCCUCAGCAGCUUCAGGACCCAGGCAAGUCCCUGCCUCUUGCCCAGAUACCGAACGAUCAUGAAUGUGGGAUUGCAGGAACCCUGGGUGUGAGCUUUAAGGAGCCUGGCAAAGAGGAGGACGGUAGAACAGUCUUUGCUCUGGUCCUGCUUGCUCCUGCUCUCUCUGCCCUCAGGGAGUUGCUGUCAGCUUCUUGAAUUAGCCAUGAGUUCUCUCCUCCCAGACUCUGCACACAGCUUCUCUCUCUCUAAAACAUAUCCUUUUCUUCCCCCACAAUCCAGCCCGAUCCCACUCAUCUUUCAGUGUCUGACUGAGUCAUUCCUUCUUCCAGGAAGCUGUCCCUGAGCCCCUCUGGGUGCACCCUACCCCUUCCCUGUGUGUGGUGCCACAAACCUGGUGUACUGUGGGUGCUGCGGGGCUGUCUCUGCUGCCCUCUGUGUGCAGAGUCCGCUGGGUGAAGCUCUUCGUGGUUUCUAGCUCACCUUUGGGGAGGUUCACAGUCAUGAUGGAAGGAAUUAGUCAAUUGGUUCACUGCCUCAUUCUUCCAUUUAGCCGUGUGGCCAGUCAGUGACCUGGGCAGCAGUCCCUGAGUUGCUCAGCUCAGGGUGGAGAAGCAGCCUGGGGAGCAGAGACGGGCUUGAUUCUGUAGUCAGCUGCCUGGGCUCCAAUCCCACACCUGCUCCUGUUAGCCAGGUGAUCCCAGGGAAGUCACUUCACACCUCUGACCUCAGUUUCCCCAAAUAUGAAAUGUAGUUGCUUCAUAGAAUUGCUAUGGGCAUGACAAGUGUUAAUCAAAAGUGUAAUUUUAGAACUGAACCAAGCUCAGUAAUAUGGAAGUAUUAGCUAUGAUUAAUUCGAUUGUUUUCUAAAAUGAGUACAAAGUGUGGUACAGAAAGGUCAACUGAUUUUCCCAGAGUCACAAUCAAAAGAUGUGUUUUUAUUCAUGUGAUGGUUUUAAAACAGUCUCAAACUUCUUUGAAACUUCUACUAUGGAGAAGUGGGUCCAAAUUUCCUCCUAUUGAGUGUGGGCCCUGUGACUGCUUGAUCAAUAAAACAUGGUGGGUGCUGUGGCAGCUUGGCCCAGAUUGUGGAAACAGCAGCUUCCGUUUCCUGUCUCUGGGGGCACUUGCUCUGGAACCCAGCUGCCAUGUUGGAAGGGAGCCCAAGCAGCCCAUGCAGAGCUUCCGAGUGGAGCGGAAAUGAGGCCCCAGCCCUCAGCCCUGGCUGGUGCCGCUGCACCCGCUGGCCUGCCCCGUGCCUGGGCUCCUUUGGAAGGGGUCCUGCAGUCUCCAGUCAAGCCACUCAUCUGAUGCUGUGUGGAACAGGAGUGUCUGCACCUGCCAAGCUCUACCUACAUGAUAAACAAAAGAGAUGCUGUGACUGUCAAGCCUUUGGCUUCCAGGCUGGCUGUUAUGUGGCAGUAGUCACUGGAGCACAGCUGCCUUACACAUCAUGUGAGAAUCAUUAUGAAUCCCAAAUAGACAAAUUGAGUCUCACAGCCUCUCCCCCUUCCUCUUAUUUACCAGCCGUGCUCACCCCUAAACCAUCCUUCCUCUGUGGACCCAUGCUGUGGUGCCCGAUGACAGCCCUUCGCCCACCUCUGGUCUCGCCUGGAGCCGUGUGCAGGCUUGUGCACCAUGAGGCCCCUUUUCUGUCCCGUGUUAGGAUCCACCCUGGGCUGCAUCAGCACAGUGGGUCAGAAAGGAGCCCCGGGGUGGGGGCUGACAUCAGGCCUGCCCUCCACCAAGGGCAGCAAGCAGGCGGGCUUCUCUUCCUGACCCCACAGGCCAGCAUGAGACCCCGGAAAUAGCAGGUGCUCUAUAAAUAUGUGGCCAGAUGGACUGAAUGAGUGACUGAAUGGAAACCUCCAGAUUGGCGAGACCGCUCACCUGGGUCUUACUCCACCAAAAGCCCUGGCUCUGCCUGAAGUGACCACACAGCUCCUGACCCGGAGCUGAGGCCCGAGGCCAACAGGUCAGAGGAAGGGGAAGUGGGGAUCCUCAGGCAGGGAGGAGGGUGGCUUCUCCCCUAGCUUGCCCGGAGUGACCCUCUCACGCUGCCCCUACCCUGACUGGCCACCAGGCCGCAGCUCCCCUUCCUGCCUCCCCUCCCAACAAGCCCUUCCCCUGCAUCCCUAGGUCAGAACUUCUUGGCCUCAUAUGGAAUCUUGUCCCUGAGGGUCUCCUAAAUGGCCCUGGUGGCCUGGGGAAGCCCCUCCUGUCCACUCCCCACUCUGCUGAGACCUACCUUCUGUCCACAACUCUGAGCCUCCCAUACUUGCCUCUUUACCUCCUCACCCGCUCUGCCUCCCUCCCCAGGGGCUCCACACCCCCAUCCUUCCACACUCUGUACUCUCUCACCCCGGCGGUUUGCAUAUGCUGUCCUUCUGCCUGUAACACUUUUCCCUGCCCAACCUGGAAAAUGCCUAUUUAUCCAGCAAGAGCGACUCAGGCAUCCCCUUCAGAACUCUCUAAACAGGUGAGGCUCUGCAGGAACACCCAUAGCCCCUCGUGCAGUCAUUCAUUCAUUCAACAAAUACCUACCAAGAACUACUGAGUGCCAAGUUGUUUCUUAGGCCCUGGAGAGUUGGGGGCUGUACAAAGCCUGCCCUCUUGUAGCUAUUAACAGCGAACCACCCUGCCCAGCUGUGUCAGGCGCCUUUCCACACACUGCUUUUCCUGGAUCGCCGGCCCCUUCCAUCUCCAGGAUCUUUCCUCCUCAGACUGAGAGGCACUUGGGCAAGGCCCUUCCUGAUCCCCUCACCAAGGCCACACCUUGGGGCUGCCUUUUGAAAGGCAGAUGUUCAGAUUCUGCCUGGGGAGCCUGUGGUCUGGGCUGAGCCCACGGGACUCUGGUGCAGGUGGUGGGAGAGGGAGAGGGGGUGGGCAUCUGGAGAAGCCCCUCCUGGGCACAGUGGUUCCUGCCCUGCCCCAGCAAGCUGGGCACUCCAGGAUCCUGCAUGGGAUCCUGGUUCCCCUGUCCACCCUCCGCCCACCUCAACAGACUCUGCCUCCAAGUGUGCGGGACCCCACCUCGUGCGUUCUCCUUAGACCUGGGCCCCUGUCCCUCCCGGCCCACGUUGUGUGUUCUCCUUAGACCGGAGCCCCUGUCCCUCCCAGCAGGUGCCCCUGUGUGUUGGUUGCAGGAAUGGAGGAUGCAUGAGGUUAGAGAGGUUUUCAGAACAUGUAGCCUUCUGUGAUGACACUAACUUGAUUUCUGUCUUUCACUACGAGGUUGCCCCAGGAUUUUCCUGCCUCUAGUCUUCCCCUUUUGAAAGAAUCCUCAAAAGUACAUGUGUUAAAGCCUUCUCGAAGCUCCCACAUGAUCUUGAGCAUCAGAUGAACAUGAAUGGUGGUCAGAUCCACAAUGGAACUGGCCUACCUCCUCCAUGGAACCCUUGCCUCUGCAAAGAAGCCAGAGCCCACCUGCCUGCACAAUGGAGCCUGCCUGCCUGCACCAUGGACCCCACCUGCAAGACUCGGCUUCUGGCCUCUCUCCUCUUGACUCUAGGCUCUGGACUUGGGGGACACCCUGAGCCUACUAACAUCAGGGUACAGGGACAAAUCUCAGUGGACCUGACCAGGUUUCUACUGAGAAAGAAAUGUGGAGAUGGACGAGGUCAGCUUAUCUUUGCAGAAGGCUGUAUGGGGCCACCAAACCCUCCUCGAAGGUCUCAAAUUCCAGCUGUUAGUUGUGGCGCCCUGCAGCUGAGCUGGGAUGGCAUUGAUGUCCCACCAGGCUGCAGCAGCAAAGGAAGGGGCAUUGCCACUACUUCAUGCUCGGCUGACCUGGCUCUGCUUACCUGGCCUCUUGCUUGUGUUUUUAUUUUUCCUUUUUGUUUUAAUUUUAAUUUUAAUUUUUUUUUUUUUUUUUUUUUUGAGAUGGAGUCUUGCUCUGUGGCCCAGGCUGGAGUGAG
Molecule: long non-coding RNA, 12691 nt
Organism: Rhinopithecus roxellana (golden snub-nosed monkey)
Lineage: Eukaryota; Metazoa; Chordata; Mammalia; Primates; Cercopithecidae
Exons: 3
Source: RefSeq, a predicted model, not a curated record